AAUAACUGUUCCUAACUGAUGUUACGCAGCCCAUAAGAGAAAACCACCGUACACGGUUGGCUCAAGGGGUAUGCGAAAGCAGCCCUUUUAGUUCGCCAGGUCUUUACAAACAAAGACGGUAGCACGGGGAUAUUACAUCUGGUUUGCAGUGAUUUGAGUUCCGACUAUGACGCCAUUACCACGACCUACAAAAAGCGAUCUCGCGAGAGUCAGCGGACCUUAUAAAGUGCGUCGUAGUCCGGAUUGGAGUCUGCAACUCGACUCCAUGAAGUCGGAAUCGCUAGUAAUCGUGGAUCAGAAUGCCACGGUGAAUACGUUCCCGGGGGCCUUGUACACACCGCCCGUCACACCAUGGGAGUGGGUUGCAAAAGAAGUAGGUAGCUUAACCUUCGGGAGGGCGCUUACCACUUUGUGAUUUUAUGACUGGGGUG
This 431-nucleotide ribosomal RNA is filed under the name Sodalis sp. (in: enterobacteria). Its description in RNAcentral is "bacterial SSU rRNA". It matches the Rfam family "Bacterial small subunit ribosomal RNA", at positions 1098 to 1482 of the family's 1533-position model. The record is from RNAcentral. Lineage: Bacteria; Pseudomonadati; Pseudomonadota; Gammaproteobacteria; Enterobacterales; Bruguierivoracaceae.